This 465-nucleotide ribosomal RNA is filed under the name uncultured bacterium. RNAcentral describes it as "partial 16S ribosomal RNA". It matches the Rfam family "Bacterial small subunit ribosomal RNA", at positions 28 to 507 of the family's 1533-position model. The record is from RNAcentral.
GACGAACGCUGGCGGCGUGCUUAACACAUGCAAGUCGAACGGAAAGGCCCCUUUGGGGGUACUCGAGUGGCGAACGGGUGCGUAACACGUGAGUAACCUGCCCUUGACUUCGGGAUAACUUCAGGAAACUGGGGCUAAUACCGGAUAGGAAUCCUUGCUGCAUGGUGGUGGUUGGAAAGCUUCGGCGGUUUUGGAUGGACUCGCGGCUUAUCAGCUUGUUGGUGGGGUAGUGGCUUACCAAGGCUUUGACGGGUAGCCGGCCUGAGAGGGCGACCGGCCACAUUGGGACUGAGAUACGGCCCAGACUCCUACGGGAGGCAGCAGUGGGGAAUAUUGCACAAUGGGCGGAAGCCUGAUGCAGCAACGCCGCGUGCGGGAUGACGGCCUUCGGGUUGUAAACCGCUUUCAGCAGGGGCGAAGCUUGUGGUGACGGUACCUGCAGAAGAAGCACCGGCUAACUACGUG